RNAcentral lists this ribosomal RNA (453 nucleotides) under Triticum aestivum (bread wheat). RNAcentral describes it as "partial small subunit ribosomal RNA". Lineage: Eukaryota; Viridiplantae; Streptophyta; Magnoliopsida; Poales; Poaceae. The record is from RNAcentral.
AUGCAGAUCUUCAUCAAGACCCUCGGAGGCAAGACGAUCACCGUCAAGGUCGAUAACUUGGAAAUAGUCGACAGUGUCAAGGCUAAGAUCCAAGUUGAGGAGGGCAUUCCUGUGGACCAGCAUAGGCUUAUCUUUGCUCGGAAACAGAUGGAAGACUUUCGCACCCUGGGGGAGUAUGGCAUCAAGCACCAGGACAUGAUUCACCUGGUGCUCCGCCUCCGUGCCUGACUACAAAUCUUUGUCAACGGGCUUACCGGCAAAAUCACUACCUAUGAUGUUGAGGACUAGAGUACCGUCGAAAGUGUAAAGGAAAUGAUCCGGAAAAAGGAGGGUGCUCCCGUGGACGAACAAAGGCUGAUCUAUGGCGGGAAACAGCUAGUGGAUGGUCAGACCAUGGAGGACCGUGGCAUCCAUAAGUUUUCCACACUUCACCUGCUGCUUCGCCUCCGAUAG